GAACCAUGCAGAUAUUAGUGUACAUAAGUAGAAAGUGGUAGCGAGUUGUUCCAUCUUAGUACAAUAAAAAUGGGGAAACAUAGUAGCCAAAAUAAUAGGACACUAGGACCCAACUGGUAGCUAAAAUGGCUAGAUUCAAAUUGGUAGUCUCUGAUGACGAGCACUGCAACACCAAAACAGAAAAACAUAUGUAGCCACAAGUCUGUCACACGCUUCAACAACAACCGGACUUGAUCCAGAGCAUUUCAUCCAACAUCACAGAAGCACCAAAUAGCAG
RNAcentral lists this long non-coding RNA (277 nucleotides) under Oryza brachyantha (malo sina). RNAcentral describes it as "long non-coding RNA (OBRA_LNC003025)". The record is from RNAcentral. Lineage: Eukaryota; Viridiplantae; Streptophyta; Magnoliopsida; Poales; Poaceae.